This 72-nucleotide transfer RNA is filed under the name Camelus bactrianus (Bactrian camel). It matches the Rfam family "tRNA". Rfam says of the family: Transfer RNA (tRNA) molecules are approximately 80 nucleotides in length. Their secondary structure includes four short double-helical elements and three loops (D, anti-codon, and T loops). Further hydrogen bonds mediate the characteristic L-shaped molecular structure. tRNAs have two regions of fundamental functional importance: the anti-codon, which is responsible for specific mRNA codon recognition, and the 3' end, to which the tRNAs corresponding amino acid is attached (by aminoacyl-tRNA synthetases). tRNAs cope with the degeneracy of the genetic code in two manners: having more than one tRNA (with a specific anti-codon) for a particular amino acid; and 'wobble' base-pairing, i.e. permitting non-standard base-pairing at the 3rd anti-codon position. Lineage: Eukaryota; Metazoa; Chordata; Mammalia; Artiodactyla; Camelidae. RNAcentral also lists the same sequence under 3 other names. The record is from Rfam by way of RNAcentral.
GAGGAUUUAACUCAGUGGUAGAGCACGUGCUUAGCAUGCAGGAGGUCCUGGGUUCAAUCCCCAGCACCUCCA